AUGCAGGUUAACCAGAUAGGACCGACACACACAUGUGUUUCAAGUAGCAGGCUCAAUUCAGCAAUGGCCUCGCAAGAUUGGGUUCAAGAAAGGUUCAAGAAAAUUUUAAGGAAAACUCCAAACAUUGGUUGCAAGGAUUUACAAGAAAAGUUGGAGGAAGACUGGAAUGUAACCACUGGCUAUCGUACUGUAUGGAAGGGGAGGGAGAGAGCAAAGGAUGAGAUAUAUGGUUCUUGGGGUAGUAGCUUCCGUUACCUAUAUAGUUUUAAACCAGAGAUGGAACUUAGAUCCCCUGGAAGCAUUGUUGAGGUCAAUACUAAGCUAACAAAAGGUAAAGUUUACUUUCACAGAUUUUUUAUGGCACUUAAGCCUUGUGUAGAUGGAUUCCAUGCUGGAUGUAGGCCUUAUCUUAGCAUAGACUCAACUGCAUUGAAUGGAAAGUGGAAUGCCCAUUUAGCUGCAUGCACAGCUUUAGAUGGACAUAAUUGGAUGUUUCCACUUGCAUUUGGCUUUAUCGAGGUUGAAGAUGAAGAUAAUUGGACAUGGUUCAUGACAUAG
RNAcentral lists this ribosomal RNA (558 nucleotides) under Triticum aestivum (bread wheat). RNAcentral's name for it is "partial small subunit ribosomal RNA". Lineage: Eukaryota; Viridiplantae; Streptophyta; Magnoliopsida; Poales; Poaceae. The record is from RNAcentral.